RNAcentral lists this ribosomal RNA (360 nucleotides) under Aerococcus viridans. Its description in RNAcentral is "bacterial SSU rRNA". It matches the Rfam family "Bacterial small subunit ribosomal RNA", at positions 1120 to 1479 of the family's 1533-position model. The record is from RNAcentral. Lineage: Bacteria; Bacillati; Bacillota; Bacilli; Lactobacillales; Aerococcaceae.
CAACAUUUAUUGUGGCACUGUAAUGAGUCGGCCGGUGACAAACCGGAGGAAGGUGGGGAUGACGUCAAAUCAGCAUGCCCCUUAUGACUUGGGCUACACACGUGCUACAAUGGAUGGUACAACGAGUCGCAAACCCGCGAGGGCAAGCAAAUCUCUUAAAGCCAUUCUCAGUUCGGAUUGCAGGCUGCAACUCGCCUGCAUGAAGCCGGAAUCGCUAGUAAUCGUGGAUCAGCACGCCACGGUGAAUACGUUCCCGGGUCUUGUACACACCGCCCGUCACAACACGAGAGUUUGUAACACCCGAAGUCGGUGAGGUAACCUUUAUGGAGCCAGCCGCCGAAGGUGGACCGAGGGGCCAAU